RNAcentral lists this ribosomal RNA (253 nucleotides) under uncultured bacterium. Its description in RNAcentral is "partial 16S ribosomal RNA". It matches the Rfam family "Bacterial small subunit ribosomal RNA", at positions 524 to 776 of the family's 1533-position model. The record is from RNAcentral.
UACAGAGGUCUCAAGCGUUGUUCGGAUUCAUUGGGCGUAAAGGGUGCGUAGGUGGCGCCGUAAGUCGGGUGUGAAAUUUCGGAGCUUAACCCCGAAACUGCAUUCGAUACUGCGGUGCUUGAGGACUGGAGAGGAGACUGGAAUUCAUGGUGUAGCAGUGAAAUGCGUAGAGAUCAUGAGGAAGACCAGUGGCGAAGGCGGGUCUCUGGACAGUUCCUGACACUGAGGCACGAAGGCCAGGGGAGCAAACGGG